AAACACAUGAAACUAAGUUUGAUGGAUAUUUUACAUUACAAUUUAUAAUUCAGUUAUAAUCCAGAUAGCCUAUGUUAUCUCUUUGUUGCAAUCUUUUACUUUAUUUCAAUUUAUGUAUUUGAUAAAUCAGUGGCUAGUAAAUCUUUAAGGCUCUUUUUGAACAACUAAAAAACACAAGUAAGUUUGUAAAGUUGCAGUAAACAGUAAAGUGGCCCAUUAAACAACACUAGAUAAAUCUUGUACUUCAAAUGUACAAUGUGUAAUUUUCGCCACUAGAUGACGCGUUUUCACAACAAACCAAGGCGUAGUUUGAUGACGCCCGUGAAUGAGUGUGGAAUCAUAGGAGUUGUGGUCUUCAUUAAAUACAACAGGACAGGUGCAGAAAUCACGAGCUAAAGUAUUCAACACUUUUAUCAUGGUAGUUUAAAGCAGGGUGAGGCAAAAAGAAGAUCGCUGAAGCCACUGAUAACGAGAGACGAACGCAAUGUGUCACGCAGUGGAACUUUUAUUAUGCCGCAGUCCACGGCUUCCGGUUUGGUGUUUUCAUGUUUCCCUCUUGGUUAGCAUGGCGAAAAAUAUCUGGAUUUAAACAUUCUUGGAAACAUUUCGGGUAAAUAUAAAUUUGACGUGGCUCUGAAAUGUCUGGAAACACCACUGAAUGCACGUUGAUCGGCUAAAAAUAGUACGGAAAUAAUUAAAGGCAUAUCGCAGACGUGACGUUUGUACUGACCCAGAUGACAGAUCUGCUGGCUGGACUUCUGCACAGAGAAAGGGCAACAGCAUCUCCAGCAGUAAAGGACCCUCCACAUCAAAAGCUACAGUGGUCAGCUUAUGAUUUAGAAAACAAAUCACUUAUAAACCAGCAUCCAAGCAUGCUAUAGACCUGAACAAUGCUUCUGUAUUUCCAAAAAAAAAAAAAAAAAA
Non-coding RNA from Danio rerio (zebrafish), 924 nucleotides. The record is from RefSeq and is a predicted model, not a curated record. Lineage: Eukaryota; Metazoa; Chordata; Actinopteri; Cypriniformes; Danionidae.